AUUGAACGCUGGCGGCAGGCCUAACACAUGCAAGUCGAGCGGAUGAAGGGAGCUUGCUCCCUGAUUCAGCGGCGGACGGGUGAGUAAUGCCUAGGAAUCUGCCUGGUAGUGGGGGACAACGUCUCGAAAGGGACGCUAAUACCGCAUACGUCCUACGGGAGAAAGUGGGGGAUCUUCGGACCUCACGCUAUCAGAUGAGCCUAGGUCGGAUUAGCUAGUUGGUGAGGUAAUGGCUCACCAAGGCGACGAUCCGUAACUGGUCUGAGAGGAUGAUCAGUCACACUGGAACUGAGACACGGUCCAGACUCCUACGGGAGGCAGCAGUGGGGAAUAUUGGACAAUGGGCGAAAGCCUGAUCCAGCCAUGCCGCGUGUGUGAAGAAGGUCUUCGGAUUGUAAAGCACUUUAAGUUGGGAGGAAGGGCAGUAAAUUAAUACUUUGCUGUUUUGACGUUACCGACAGAAUAAGCACCGGCUAACUCUGUGCCAGCCGCCGCCGUAAAAC
This 503-nucleotide ribosomal RNA is filed under the name uncultured bacterium. RNAcentral's name for it is "bacterial SSU rRNA". It matches the Rfam family "Bacterial small subunit ribosomal RNA", at positions 30 to 526 of the family's 1533-position model. The record is from RNAcentral.